RNAcentral lists this ribosomal RNA (118 nucleotides) under Pteropus alecto (black flying fox). Lineage: Eukaryota; Metazoa; Chordata; Mammalia; Chiroptera; Pteropodidae. The record is from RNAcentral.
GUCUACGGCCAUGCCACUCUGAACAAGCUCGAUCCCGUCUGAUCUCAGAAGCUAAGCAGGGUCAAGCCUGGUUAGUACUUGAAUGGGAGACUACCUAGGAGACCAAGUGCUGUAGGCA